Molecule: ribosomal RNA, 1531 nt
Filed under: human gut metagenome
Description: bacterial LSU rRNA
Rfam family: Bacterial large subunit ribosomal RNA
Source: RNAcentral
GUCGUCGAAAGGGAAACAGCCCAGAUCGUCGUCUAAGGUCCCCAAGCGUGUGCUAAGUGGGAAAGGAUGUGGAGUCGCAUAGACAGCCAGGAGGUUGGCUCAGAAGCAGCCACCCUUGAAAGAGUGCGUAACAGCUCACUGGUCUAGUGGUUCCGCGCCGACAAUGUAGCGGGGCUCAAGCACACCACCGAAGACGCGGCAGUAGCUUUGCUACUGGGUAGGAGAGCGUCCCAUGCGGGGCGAAGCGGCGGCGCAAGCCCGCCGUGGACCGCAUGGGAGUGAGAAUGCAGACAUGAGUAGCGAAAGACGGGUGAAGAUCCCGUCCGCUGGACGACCAAGGGUUCCAGGGCCACGUUCAUCGUCCCUGGGUGAGUCGGGUCCUAAGGCGAGGCCGACAGGCGUAGUCGAAUGGAUGAACGGGUCGAUAUUCCCGUACCGGCAUGCAACCGACAAAACCGAAUCCGCGAGUACUAACCUCCGGGUCCGGGCUUACGUCUCCUUCGGGAGCCGGAUGCCCUGGCCUGUUGGGACCGUAACGGUAGUAGGUCAGCGCGGGAGUGACGCAGAAGGGUAGCCGGCCGCGGAGGUGGUCUUCCGUGGUCAAGCACGCAGCCCGUCCCACAGGCAAAUCCGUGGGGCGCGUGGGCGAGGUGCGAUGAUGGGCGCCGCAGGGCGCGAUAUCCGGUGAUCCCGGCUGCCGAGAAAAGCUUCGGCGUGAGGCGGCGUGCCGCCCGUACCCCAAACCGACACUGGUGGUCAGGUAGAGAAUACCAAAGCGAUCGAGCGAAUCCUGGUCAAGGAACUCGGCAAAUCACUCCCGUUCCUUCGGUUUAAGGGAGACCCCCGAUGGUGAAGCGGCUUGCCCGUGGAGCUUUUGGGGGUGGCACAGACCAGGGGGUAGCGACUGUUUACCAAAAACACAGGAGCGUGCGAAGGCGCAAGCCGCUGUAUACGCUCUGACGCCUGCCCGGUGCCGGAAGGUUAAGAGGAUCCGUCAGGCUUCGGCCGAAGCGGUGAAUUCAAGCCCCGGUAAACGGCGGUGGUAACUAUAACCAUCCUAAGGUAGCGAAAUUCCUUGUCGGGUAAGUUCCGACCUGCACGAAUGGCGUAACGACUUCCCCACUGUCUCGACCAGGAGCUCGGCGAAAUUGCAGUACGAGUAAAGAUGCUCGUUAAGCGCAGAAGGACGAAAAGACCCCGGGACCUUUACUAUACCUUGGUAUUGGCAUUCGGUGUGGAUUGUGUAGCAUAGGCGGAAGGCUUCGAAGCCACGGCGCCAGCCGCGGUGGAGCCGCAAGGUGAAAUACCGCUCUGUUCGCAUUGGAUGUCUAACCUCGACCAGUCAUCCUGGUCAGGGACAGUGCCUGGCGGGUAGUUUAACUGGGGCGGUUGCCUCCCAAAGAGUAACGGAGGCGCUCAAAGGUUCCCUCAGCCCGGUUGGCAAUCGGGUGGCGAGUGUAAGUGCACAAGGGAGCUUGACUGCGAGACUGACGGGUCGAGCAGGGACGAAAGUCGGAACUAGUGAUCCGGU